This 1239-nucleotide long non-coding RNA is filed under the name Vulpes vulpes (red fox). Its description in RNAcentral is "lncRNA (ENSVVUG00000018356.1)". The record is from RNAcentral. Lineage: Eukaryota; Metazoa; Chordata; Mammalia; Carnivora; Canidae.
AUAUAUUAUGCAAAUUUUAUAUAUUGUACUCUGAAAACCAUAGAACAAUGAUGAAAUAAAUUGAAGAUGACACAAAGAAAUGAGAGACAUUUCGUGCUCAUAGAUUGGAAGGACAAAUAGCGUUCAAAUGCAGCUUAUUAUACAUAACAUGUCGAUAAAGUUGUAAAAAAAUAUGCAUUUGAGAUCAAGGAGAUACAAAAUUUUCUCAUCAGUUAAUGCAGAAUUAAGAUCCUUCACUCACCUCAUGCCAACUCCAGCAUCUGUCAGACUCCUUAAACAGCAUUAAUACUCCUUAAUUUACUAGUGGCUGACAUUGGCUCUUGGUGGUAUAAGUUCAUCACCUGUCCUCUAGAGGUCAGCCUUGUUCCAGAAAAAUAACUCAAACUGGUAAACAUGCUAGCUCACCUGGACUGUGGGAAGUAGCCUUAAGAUGUAUUGGAGGAAGUGUGUGUAUGUGUAUUUAGUCUUGCAUCAAAUAAAAAACUGGUGUUUUUUGGUAUGACAGCCUCCUGCCCUACCACUGUCCAAAGAAAGCGUACCCCUACAGUGAGUAAGUUGACAGCUAACAUUCAAUGGGAGGAGAACUCUUUAGAGAAGCCUAAAAGGGAUCUUAAAUUAGGAACUCUUGGUAUCAUGCAGAUGUUAAGCCAGAAGUACCUUGGAGAAAACAGGCACAUCUAGCUAUUUGGGUUAUUUUCUGCCAGAAGGGAUGUUGGAACAAUUUAGUAAAGAACAAGUAUUCAUUGAAGGUUGACUGUGUACCUGGAACAAUGCUCAUAGCAAUCACAUUUCUUAUGUAGAAAUAUAUUUUUAUAUAAGGACUGAGAUUUUGAUUUUUAUCCAUAUUCAUGGUGCAUCUGAACAACUUAAACAUCAAGCCAGAACAGGCUGAGAGGCCAGGGAACUGGGCUAUCAUGGCAUCACAGACAUGAGUUGCUAUGAAAAACUGAGCAAAUCAUGGCUUGGUCUCCGCGUUUCCUACCCCUGAUGGGCUGCCAGUGUCUGAGGAUCCUUGCCACCAGGGAUGAAGAAAUGUUGAAGAAAUAUCUGAGUGAUCACUGUCGCAAUGAUUUGAAAGGAGGAGUCAUCUCAACAAAGCAGGCCCUGAAGUACAGAGUGUUUGUCUCUCAAUAUGUUAUUUUCACUCAACUGUAUGUGUUUGAUGCCCAGAAGCAGUUAAUUCACUUCAAAGAGCCAGGGAAAAUGCACCAAAAGAUCUUAUCGGUAAAAUUUUUUUAA